Molecule: non-coding RNA, 83 nt
Organism: Danio rerio (zebrafish)
Lineage: Eukaryota; Metazoa; Chordata; Actinopteri; Cypriniformes; Danionidae
Source: Rfam
GUCAGGAUGGACAAGCGGUCUAAGGCGCUGCGUUAAGAUUGCAAUUUCCCCUGGAGGCGUGGGUUCAAAUGCCACUUCCGACA